Molecule: ribosomal RNA, 599 nt
Filed under: Aspergillus fumigatus
Lineage: Eukaryota; Fungi; Ascomycota; Eurotiomycetes; Eurotiales; Aspergillaceae
Description: eukaryotic LSU rRNA
Rfam family: 5.8S ribosomal RNA (bases 231-384)
Source: RNAcentral
AGUCGUAACAAGGUUUCCGUAGGUGAACCUGCGGAAGGAUCAUUACCGAGUGAGGGCCCUCUGGGUCCAACCUCCCACCCGUGUCUAUCGUACCUUGUUGCUUCGGCGGGCCCGCCGUUUCGACGGCCGCCGGGGAGGCCCUGCGCCCCCGGGCCCGCGCCCGCCGAAGACCCCAACAUGAACGCUGUUCUGAAAGUAUGCAGUCUGAGUUGAUUAUCGUAAUCAGUUAAAACUUUCAACAACGGAUCUCUUGGUUCCGGCAUCGAUGAAGAACGCAGCGAAAUGCGAUAAGUAAUGUGAAUUGCAGAAUUCAGUGAAUCAUCGAGUCUUUGAACGCACAUUGCGCCCCCUGGUAUUCCGGGGGGCAUGCCUGUCCGAGCGUCAUUGCUGCCCUCAAGCACGGCUUGUGUGUUGGGCCCCCGUCCCCCUCUCCCGGGGGACGGGCCCGAAAGGCAGCGGCGGCACCGCGUCCGGUCCUCGAGCGUAUGGGGCUUUGUCACCUGCUCUGUAGGCCCGGCCGGCGCCAGCCGACACCCAACUUUAUUUUUCUAAGGUUGACCUCGGAUCAGGUAGGGAUACCCGCUGAACUUAAGCAUAUC